CAGAUGGGCGUCCUACGAUCUAGUUACUACCAUAGGUAGCGCUAGUCAUAGACGGGUGCUUCCCGAAGAGCUGUGAGCCAAACGAUUACGUCUUCCGAGGGUGUCGGAUAGGCGAAAUCAGGCCAUAGUCUCCAGGGGGGCAUCUCAAUCCCAGGGAGGAAUUUACUUUGUUUACAGGGAGGGUGUGCGUUAACCAUGCCCAGGUUCCAAGCAUGCUAUGAACUCAGGGACAGAGUCUCAUAGGGAGUGCCCCGGAAACCCCGUGUCUACUGACGAUUUUCGUCUUUAGAUACGACGCUACAACCCAGUCAGUUUCAAACCAACUUGCAAUCACCCUUCGCGUCCCAAGAGGGGAGUCUGAUUGUACAGAGACGAAACCAGACUAGCGUCACUCACGUUCUCGGCGGAACCGGUUCGUGAGAUUUACUUUUUUACUUGCUAUCGAUGAUAAUUUUGGCACUGGUGAUGUUGGAGCAUAGACGUUGGUGCUCUUGGUGGUGGGAGGGAGGAGUGGAUUCGGGGGGACUUGUUUGCAAGACAGGAGGUGUGGGGAGAGUGAGGGGUGGUGGGUGGAGGAUGGUUGAUGAGGGGAGUUGGAAGGGGGUUGUGGAUGGCAGAUGAGGGGAGUUGGAAGGGGGUUGUGGAUGGCAGAUGAGGGGCGGUGGAAGGAGACGAGGGCUGGAAGACGAGGGGAGUUGGAAGGUGAUGAGCAGUGGAAGAUGAGGGGUGGUGGGAGGCCGUCGGCCGUGGAUUGUGGCUGCUUGGAGUGUGUGACGGAGAAAUCCUGGAACCUUCGGGUUGUUUGGCCUUCUAAUCACAUCCGUGUGUGGGGGAGAAAGCACUUGAACCUUCGGGUUGCGUGUCCUUCUCAAUCACAUCCGUGUGUGAGGGGAAAAGCACUGGAACCCUCGUUCUCAAUCACCUCUGGGUGCGAGGGAGAAAGUGCUCGAGUCUUCGGGUUGUGGUCUUCUCAAUCACAUCUUCCAGGGAUGGUUGAGGGGAUGCCGGGAGAGGGAUAGGGCAUUCUAUUGGGAUAUUGGGAUAGUGUGGGUGGGAUAUAUAAUUAAUGUAUUGAUUGUCUUGA
Molecule: unclassified non-coding RNA, 1084 nt
Filed under: Yarrowia lipolytica
Lineage: Eukaryota; Fungi; Ascomycota; Dipodascomycetes; Dipodascales
Source: RNAcentral